RNAcentral lists this ribosomal RNA (146 nucleotides) under uncultured bacterium. RNAcentral's name for it is "partial 16S ribosomal RNA". It matches the Rfam family "Bacterial small subunit ribosomal RNA", at positions 388 to 525 of the family's 1533-position model. The record is from RNAcentral.
CCAGCAAUACUGCGUGUUUGAUGAAGGCCUUCGGGUUGUAAAGCACUUUAACUUGGGAAGAAAAUGCUUCCCUACCUACGUGAAGCCUUGACUGUACCAGACAGCAAUAAGCACCGGCUAACACUGUGCCAGCAGCCGCGGUAAUA